GUACGCUGGCGGCACGCCUAACACAUGCAAGUCGAACGCAGUAGCAAUACUGAGUGGCAAACGGGUGAGUAUAAUGUGGGAAUCUGCCUUUUGGUUUGGAAUAACACGGGGAAACUUGUGCUAAUACCGAAUAAGCCCUUACGGGGAAAGUUUUAACGCCGAAAGAUGAGCCCGCACUUGAUUAGCUAGUUGGUAAGGUAAAAGCUUACCAAGGCAACGAUCAAUAGCUGUUCUUAGAGGAAGACCAGCCACAUUGGGACUGAGACACGGCCCAGACUCCUACGGGAGGCAGCAGUGGGGAAUCUUGCACAAUGGGGGAAACCCUGAUGCAGCGAUGCCGCGUGAGUGAAGAAGGCCCUUGGGUUGUAAAACUCUUUCGUCGGGGAAGAAAAUGACUGUACCCGAAUAAGAAGGUCCGGCUAACUUCGUGCCAGCAGCCCGCGGUAAUACGAAGGGACCUAGCGUAGUUCGGAAUUACUGGGCUUAAAGAGCUCGUAGGUGGUUAAAAAAGUUGAUGGUGAAAUCCCAAGGCUUAACCUUGGAACUGCCAUCAAAACUUUUUAGCUAGAGUGUGAUAGAGGUAAGUGGAAUUUCUAGUGUA
Molecule: ribosomal RNA, 601 nt
Filed under: uncultured Pseudomonadota bacterium
Lineage: Bacteria; Pseudomonadati; Pseudomonadota
Description: bacterial SSU rRNA
Rfam family: Bacterial small subunit ribosomal RNA
Source: RNAcentral